UUUUUAGGUAGAGGCGCGGUGUUUAUAAGUAACGCGAACGAGAAGUAUCCGCUUCCGUGCGAAAGGAAACACUGCCGAGGGUACACGGUACGGAUUUUGCCGUGUAAACCGGUAUUGCAGAUAAUAUCUGCCGUACUGUCACUUAGGUGGAGAGCUAUCAUUGGA
Eubacterium sp. CAG:841 is the source of this 165-nucleotide regulatory RNA element. It matches the Rfam family "Lysine riboswitch aptamer". From Rfam's summary of the family: Riboswitches are metabolite binding domains within certain messenger RNAs that serve as precision sensors for their corresponding targets. The record is from Rfam. Lineage: Bacteria; Bacillati; Bacillota; Clostridia; Eubacteriales; Eubacteriaceae.